RNAcentral lists this long non-coding RNA (1069 nucleotides) under Nicotiana benthamiana. RNAcentral describes it as "long non-coding RNA (NBEN_LNC021880)". Lineage: Eukaryota; Viridiplantae; Streptophyta; Magnoliopsida; Solanales; Solanaceae. The record is from RNAcentral.
CCACGUUGAAGCAAGGGGGUGAGACACCCCUUCACCGAAAAAUUACACUAUGUUUCUAGAUAAUUUUUUUUAUUUUAUGUAUAUUUACUAUAUGUUGACUCCCCUUGACUUUUAAAUAUAUCUAACUAUUUAUAUUUUGACACCCCUUGAUGAAAAUUCUGGAUCCACCACUAUAAAUAAGUAUAAAUAUUCUUGAUCGUCGUCAACCUAUAAAAUUCAAAUCCUAGUUCCGCCUGCCUAGCAUACUCCUUACGUAUCCUCUUGUGACAAAUUCUAAGCAUUACAUUUCGAGUUCCUCGUACCAUGGCCAAGAAACAUCAUCUUUCUCGUACGAGUUCUUCUCAUCAAUUAAAGAUGCUUUUUCUCUCCAAAACUUACAAUCCAAGAAUUCAUGACUUGUAGGGUAUGCUUCAAUUUCUAACUGCCAAGGAAUAAAAUCACCUAAUUUUAUGUUGCAGUGGAUUAAUCCAAUCCAAGCCCUUCAAAAUAUGAUGACUUUUUUAAAGAUCAAGAUAGGCUCCAUAAACCACAUGAAGGCGAAUGAUCAAUGGCGGAUUCCGAAUUUAGACGUUAAAAGUCUGAGUUGAGAUAAUCACUUCUGAAAGGUAUAUCUAACUCUUUUAUAGUGCGUAGUAUUUGUUUUUCUUGUACACAUAUAGGGUCUGUCAAACACCCGUACUCAUGGUUACAUCUGCGCGCUGUGGUACGGCUCAUGGGAAAUAAAAGGCGAAUAGGGACAAUGAGCUUUCUAUAUAUAGAAAGUUUUGCAUUGAUGUUCCUUGAUUCUUUAACAUCAAUAAAUGACAUACUUGUUGAUCAUCACAUAAGAAGCAAAAGAGAGGAGAACAGGAAUAAGAUAAAUCAUCUUAAUGUUAACAAGGUUCACUUUUUCAGAUUCUUCUUCAAAAAUGGUUUCCAAUUUGGGAACAUUUGAAGGUUUUUGACAAGAGAUAUAAGGGGAAGGAGCUACCUCUACCAAAUUAUGAAUGUAACUCAUUUUCUUUCCCAUGUUUGAAAAAUAAAUAAGCUUUCUUUUAAUGCAGGAUUUUGAUGGGAAUUAAGGGCUUGU